This 255-nucleotide ribosomal RNA is filed under the name uncultured bacterium. Its description in RNAcentral is "partial 16S ribosomal RNA". It matches the Rfam family "Bacterial small subunit ribosomal RNA", at positions 524 to 776 of the family's 1533-position model. The record is from RNAcentral.
UACGUAGGGGGCAAGCGUUGUCCGGAAUCAUUGGGCGUAAAGAGCGUGUAGGCGGCCCGGUAAGUCCGCUGUGAAAGUCCAGGGCUCAACCCUGGAAUGCCGGUGGAAACUGUCGGGCUAGAGUCCGGAAGAGGCGAGUGGAAUUCCUGGUGUAGCGGUGAAAAUGCGUAGAGAUCGGAAAGAACACCAACGGCGAAAGCAACUCUGCUGGGCCGACACUGACACUGAGAGACGAAAGCUAGGGGAGCGAAUGGG